GGUUGCGGCCAUAUCUACCAGAAAGCACCGUUUCCCGUCCGAUCAACUGUAGUUAAGCUGGUAAGAGCCUGACCGAGUAGUGUAGUGGGUGACCACUACACUACUCGGUCAGGCUCUUACCA
Molecule: ribosomal RNA, 122 nt
Filed under: Bifidobacterium longum
Lineage: Bacteria; Bacillati; Actinomycetota; Actinomycetes; Bifidobacteriales; Bifidobacteriaceae
Source: RNAcentral